This 72-nucleotide transfer RNA is filed under the name Cordylochernes scorpioides. RNAcentral describes it as "tRNA-Thr". Lineage: Eukaryota; Metazoa; Arthropoda; Arachnida; Pseudoscorpiones; Chernetidae. The record is from RNAcentral.
GCUCGGACCCUAGUGGACAUGGAUUCUGCCCGGUAAGCGGAACAUUGUGGGUUCGAUUCCCAUCCCUGGACA